RNAcentral lists this small nuclear RNA (285 nucleotides) under Neogale vison (American mink). Its description in RNAcentral is "Neovison vison (American mink) 7SK RNA (ENSNVIG00000003044.1)". It matches the Rfam family "7SK RNA", at positions 1 to 277 of the family's 331-position model. Rfam says of the family: 7SK was discovered as an abundant small nuclear RNA in the mid-70s but a possible function has only recently been suggested. Lineage: Eukaryota; Metazoa; Chordata; Mammalia; Carnivora; Mustelidae. The record is from RNAcentral.
GGAUGUGAGGGCGAUCUGGCUGCGACAUCUGUCACCCCAUUGAUCGCCAGGGUUGAUUCAGCUGAUCUGGCUGGCUAGGCGGGUGUCCCCUUCCUCCCUCACCGCUCCAUGUGCGUCCCUCCCGAAGCUGCGCGCUCGGUCCAAGAGGACAACCUUCCCCAAUAGAGGAGAGGACCGUUCUUCAGUCAAGGGUAUACAAGUAGCUGCGCUCCCCUGCUAGAACCUCCAAACAAGCUCUCAAGGUCAACUCAGUUCAUGAUCUUGGGGUCUUGGGAUUGAGCCCCU